Molecule: ribosomal RNA, 484 nt
Filed under: uncultured bacterium
Lineage: Bacteria
Description: partial 16S ribosomal RNA
Rfam family: Bacterial small subunit ribosomal RNA
Source: RNAcentral
GACGAACGCUGGCGGCGUGCUUAACACAUGCAAGUCGAACGGAAAGGCCCUGCUUUUGUGGGGUGCUCGAGUGGCGAACGGGUGAGUAACACGUGAGUAACCUGCCCUUGACUUUGGGAUAACUUCAGGAAACUGGGGCUAAUACCGGAUAGGAGCUCCUGCUGCAUGGUGGGGGUUGGAAAGCUUCGGCGGUUGGGGAUGGACUCGCGGCUUAUCAGCUUGUUGGUGGGGUAGUGGCUUGCCAAGGCUUUGACGGGUAGCCGGCCUGAGAGGGUGACCGGCCACAUUGGGACUGAGAUACGGCCCAGACUCCUACGGGAGGCAGCAGUGGGGAAUAUUGCACAAUGGGCGGAAGCCUGAUGCAGCAACGCCGCGUGCGGGAUGACGGCCUUCGGGUUGUAAACCGCUUUCGCCUGUGACGAAGCGUGAGUGACGGUAAUGGGUAAAGAAGCACCGGCUAACUACGUGCCAGCCGCCGCAGUAA